Molecule: ribosomal RNA, 231 nt
Filed under: Triticum aestivum (bread wheat)
Lineage: Eukaryota; Viridiplantae; Streptophyta; Magnoliopsida; Poales; Poaceae
Description: partial small subunit ribosomal RNA
Source: RNAcentral
AUGCACCAAGCGACCAGCACAUCAGUCAAAAGGCUGAUUGCUGGCUCAUUUGGCACUAUCUCUAAUUGGAAGUACAAUGCACCUCAACCUAGUGCUGAGCAAUCCCGGAUGCAAAUUGCUAACAACAAGGUCAUUCCUUUGCAUUUGCCUCCUGGUGAUACUUCAACUGAAAGAACACUGUAUAUUGACGGUACUGCAGAGCGAAUUGAAAUAGCAAAGCAGCUUGAGUGA